Molecule: long non-coding RNA, 215 nt
Filed under: Vigna radiata
Lineage: Eukaryota; Viridiplantae; Streptophyta; Magnoliopsida; Fabales; Fabaceae
Description: long non-coding RNA (VRAD_LNC006942)
Source: RNAcentral
AGGAGGUGGUCUUGUCGUAGGAGCAAGAACAUUCUGAAUGCUUGUCUUCUGGGAACUCAUUCUGUCAAAAUUGCUUAAAUUUGGUGUUGGUUUUAGUUUGUGUAUGGAAAAUGAAACAUGGGCAUGUGGGUGGUAUGUAUUUAUAGCCAUUAAUUUGUUCAAUUAAUGCAUGGAAGUUACCAAAUGAUUGAUGGUGUAAUAUACAAAGAAAUUCC